This 1467-nucleotide long non-coding RNA is filed under the name Cervus hanglu yarkandensis (Yarkand deer). Its description in RNAcentral is "lncRNA (ENSCHYG00000009013.1)". Lineage: Eukaryota; Metazoa; Chordata; Mammalia; Artiodactyla; Cervidae. The record is from RNAcentral.
CCCGCGCGGGAGCGCGCUCUGCUGCACUGCGCCUGGGCCGGCGGGCCUGAGGCUCUGGGCGUGGGCGCCGCCGCGCGGGGGCGGGCCCUGGCCUCCGGCAGCUGUGGGCCACUGGCUGCCGGGGGGCUUCGGCCGCCCCACAAGCCGGUAACCCGGUCCUUCACGUGGGAAAAAAACCUUGCGGCGGCGCAGCCACAAGGGCAGGGCUCCGGAGCCGCGCAGCCGGGACUCGGGGCCCCUGACAGUCGGGAUAGCCCACGCCAGCAAAUCCCACUGUCCCGAUCCGAGCCCCCCGGGACCCGUGCCCAGCGACCUGGGGUGCAGCCAUCACCCUGCUCCAGGUACUAGCUUUGGGACGCUCAGGCUUGAAUCCAGAUGUGCAUCGCUCCUGGAAAAAGAAAGACGCACCCCUUCCUCCGCCCUCACAAAGAUCGCCCCGCAGUUUAUGCCUCCGGGGGGACACGCCGGAAAACACGGGUAUCCCAGGUGGCGGCAGAGGAUUCCUACUGCAGUAGCAAGAGAUGCCCCAAGCACUUGACACAGACCGUGGCAGAGCAUAGUUGGCUCCAGCAGAAAUGGCUGGAGCAAAAUGCUCCUGGCAGUUGACAAAGAUGGUUCACAGCUGUGCCUUAAGAGAGAUGCUGUGGCCAACUGACCUGAACUGGUUCUGACUGGACCGCAAGAACACCUGUACGGAUGAGCCCUGGAGAUGCUGAAAACUGCCUUUGCUUCAUCAUUACGUUAAGAUCUCUGCCAAAGGCGAGGACUUGUAUACCCGCUAGGCGAAGUUCCUGCCACGUGCAGAGAAGCAAGGAAGACUGCACCCUCCCCAGUGGACUUCCGCUGCCCCUGGAAGUUUCCACCCCUUUUCUAGAACGCUGAUAACUUGUCUGCCUUCCACUAUCUCUUCAGUUCAGUUCAGUUCAGUUCAGCCGCUCAGUCGUAUCCGACUCUUUGCAGCCCCAUGAAUCGCAGCACGCCAGGCCUCCCUCUUAGAAGUCCCUUAUUCCUCUCAUCUUGGGGAAGAAGUGUUUUUCUAGCAUGAACUCUCCCUUCUUCAUUUCCUGAUGAAGGAAUAAAGUUUCUGCUCUGCCAUUAUGAAACUGGUUUUUGCUUUUUUCCCUUGAUAUUUGCAACUCCGGGCAAAGGACCCCCUGAGAAGUCACCAACCCGUUGGCGACCGGUAACACCGUUAUUUCGGCCUCUGUGUCCCCAUCUCUAGUGCAGCUGUCUUAGUUCUGGCCACCUUUAGCUCUGCUUGAUUUGCUGCUGCAGCCUUCCAAAGGGUUUCUCCAUUUCUUUGCCUCUAAGCUCCACUACCAAACUCCUAACCACAAACGUCCUCUAACAUUUUGACAGAUUUCUUUGUAAAAUGAAAAGCUAGUUGUACCACUCUGCCACUUAAUUUAAGUGAUGAGACAAACUAAAUAUGUUACACCAUUAAUGCAGAGAAAUUAUAUACUUAGC